UGCAACGUUGAAAAAGUGCUUGCCAUAAGA
This 30-nucleotide non-coding RNA is filed under the name Mus musculus (house mouse). Lineage: Eukaryota; Metazoa; Chordata; Mammalia; Rodentia; Muridae. The record is from RNAcentral.